This 705-nucleotide long non-coding RNA is filed under the name Cricetulus griseus (Chinese hamster). RNAcentral describes it as "lncRNA (ENSCGRG00015041173.1)". The record is from RNAcentral. Lineage: Eukaryota; Metazoa; Chordata; Mammalia; Rodentia; Cricetidae.
AGCAAUUAAAACCAUCACACUCCUACCAGGCCUGGCGGUGCAUUCAUUUCAUCCCAGCACUCAGGAGGCAGAGACCAAGUUUCUUCAGCAGAAAAUGGAGGCUUGUAACAGAUGCACUGUGAGGCUGAGGCUGCACAGAAAACAGCUGAAGCACAGCCCUUCGAGGUGGUGGGGAAGCCACACCCCAAACAGGACUAAGUCACCAUACCUUGUCCCUUGGGGUUCUGCAGCCCAAGGCAAUCAGGGAAGACUAUCCACAUUUCUGUCUGCAGACAUCUCAGGUCUGCAGAGUGGAGAGAAGUCAAUGACCCUGAAGGGUACAGAGGCUCUGCUGCCACUGUAGCUCCAAGAUAGCUGGCAGAGCCAGUCCUGGACAACACCCGCACUUCUCUGCUUUAGUGCCUAUGUCCUGGGAGAAUGGGACUUCCUGUGAAGUCAUGAUCCACUUGAUUCUCCCCGGAAGGGGUUCCUUCAUGUGACCUCUCCUCCAGUCUCAUACCACAUCCAUUCUGUCUCCUCCAUGCACCCAUUAUCUGUUUUCUGAGGCUGGAAUCUGUCUAUACAGAAGAGAGGCUUAUACAGCUUACAGUUUGGGAGUGUUGAAGUCCACGACUAGAUAGCCCCAUCUGCUCGGUCUUUGCUGACGGUAAAUUUGGGUACAUCACCACACAGAGGGCAGCAUCCUUUAGCAGGCCUCCAUGGUCU